RNAcentral lists this ribosomal RNA (394 nucleotides) under Trachylepis acutilabris. Its description in RNAcentral is "partial 12S ribosomal RNA". It matches the Rfam family "Bacterial small subunit ribosomal RNA", at positions 795 to 1394 of the family's 1533-position model. Lineage: Eukaryota; Metazoa; Chordata; Lepidosauria; Squamata; Scincidae. The record is from RNAcentral.
CUUAGCCCUAAACAUAGACAGCACACACACAAUGCUGUCCGCCAGAGAACUACAAGUGAAAAACUAGAAACUCCAAGGACUUGGCGGUGCUCCACACCGACCUAGAGGAGCCUGUCCUAUAAUCGAUAAUCCACGCUAUACCUCACCACCCCUUGCAACUCAGCCUAUAUACCGCCGUCGUCAGCUUACCCUAUGAAGGAAACAAAGUAAGCAAAAUAGUUUAUAACUAAAACGUCAGGUCAAGGUGUAGCACAUGGGGUGGAAGAGAUGGGCUACACUUUCUGCCACAGAACACACGAACAGCACAAUGAAAUUAGUGCUCAAAGGCGGAUUUAGCAGUAAGAAAAACAAGACAAUUUUUCUGAAGUUCGCUCUGGAGCGCGCACACACCGCC